UCUAAAUGAUGUUUUAGCUCACGAUGGUCUUCCAAGUCUGCUAGGCUCUGACGACAAUGCCAGAUGGCAAAGCUGAUGAUGUGA
Dunckerocampus dactyliophorus (ringed pipefish) is the source of this 84-nucleotide small nucleolar RNA. RefSeq annotates it as small nucleolar RNA SNORD35. The transcript has a single exon. The record is from RefSeq and is a predicted model, not a curated record. Lineage: Eukaryota; Metazoa; Chordata; Actinopteri; Syngnathiformes; Syngnathidae.